Molecule: transfer RNA, 74 nt
Filed under: Candidatus Omnitrophota bacterium
Lineage: Bacteria; Pseudomonadati; Candidatus Omnitrophota
Also listed under: 1 other name
Description: Candidatus Omnitrophica bacterium tRNA-Gln
Rfam family: tRNA
About the family: Transfer RNA (tRNA) molecules are approximately 80 nucleotides in length.
Source: RNAcentral
UGGAGGAUCAUCUAAUGGUAGGAUGCGAGUCUCUGGAACUCGUCGUGAUGGUUCGAAUCCAUCUCCUCCAGCCA